UACGUAGGGUGCGAGCGUUGUUCGGAAUUACUGGGCGUAAAGCGCGCGCAGGCGGUCUUCCAAGUCAGUGGUGAAAGCCCGGAGCUCAACUCCGGAACUGCCAUUGAAACUGUUGGACUUGAGUAUGAGAGAGGUGAGUGGAAUUCCCAGUGUAGAGGUGAAAUUCGUAGAUAUUAGGAAGAACACCAGUGGCGAAGGCGGCUCACUGGUCCGGUACUGACGCUGAGGUGCGAAAGCGUGGGGAGCAAACAGG
RNAcentral lists this ribosomal RNA (253 nucleotides) under uncultured bacterium. RNAcentral describes it as "partial 16S ribosomal RNA". It matches the Rfam family "Bacterial small subunit ribosomal RNA", at positions 524 to 776 of the family's 1533-position model. The record is from RNAcentral.